RNAcentral lists this ribosomal RNA (265 nucleotides) under uncultured bacterium. RNAcentral describes it as "partial 16S ribosomal RNA". It matches the Rfam family "Bacterial small subunit ribosomal RNA", at positions 793 to 1055 of the family's 1533-position model. The record is from RNAcentral.
GUCCCGGCGGUAAACGAUGGGCACUAGGUGUCGGAGGUAUCGACCCCUCCGGUGCCGCAGUUAACACAUUAAGUGCCCCGCCUGGGGAGUACGACCGCAAGGUUGAAACUCAAAGGAAUUGACGGGGGCCCGCACAAGCGGUGGAGUAUGUGGUUUAAUUCGACGCAACGCGAAGAACCUUACCUGGGCUUGACAUGUAACGGACAGGGUUAGAGAUAACCCUUCGUCUUCGGACGUCGUUGCACAGGUGCUGCAUGGCUGUCGU